CCGGCACGGGUGAGUAACACGUAUCCAACCUGCCGUCUACUCUUGGACAGCCUUCUGAAAGGAAGAUUAAUACAAGAUGGCAUCAUGAGUCCGCAUGUUCACAUGAUUAAAGGUAUUCCGGUAGACGAUGGGGAUGCGUUCCAUUAGAUAGUAGGCGGGGUAACGGCCCACCUAGUCUACGAUGGAUAGGGGUUCUGAGAGGAAGGUCCCCCACAUUGGAACUGAGACACGGUCCAA
RNAcentral lists this ribosomal RNA (237 nucleotides) under uncultured bacterium. Its description in RNAcentral is "partial 16S ribosomal RNA". It matches the Rfam family "Bacterial small subunit ribosomal RNA", at positions 100 to 334 of the family's 1533-position model. The record is from RNAcentral.